Anolis carolinensis (green anole) is the source of this 5477-nucleotide long non-coding RNA. The record is from Ensembl. NCBI's taxonomy places the organism in Eukaryota, Metazoa, Chordata, Lepidosauria, Squamata, Anolidae.
AUGCCCCGCUCCUCGGGUCCAGGGCAGGAUCUAAGGGAAGAGGGAGUGAUCCCCCACCACCACCACCCCUCAGGCUCUUUCUCCGCCGGGUGCAAGAGAAAACCGAGGGUGUCUUCUCUUUCUUCUGCAGAGCAGGGACCACCAAAGCCUUCCUUAACCUCCCGCAUUCCAUUAGGAGAGGAGGAGGGAAGGAAGGAAGGAAGGGAUGGAUGCAUUCUCACGUUCACGCCCCACACUUGCGGGCAUUUCACCACGCAGUGUGUUCUUAGGGUUUUUUUUAUAAUAGGAAGGAACCCAGAGGAUGCUGCUCAUGCUCCCCAGUGCUUCCUCUUCAUCUUGGAAAGAAGUGAGGAGUGGAGUGCCAUCAGCAGGGUUCCGGGUUCAGUGGAUCUCAGCCUGGGGUCCCCAUAUGUUUUUGGCCUUCAACUCCCAGAAAUCCUAACAGCAGGUAAACUGGCUGGGAUUUCUUGGAGUUGUGGGCCAAAAACAUCUGGAGAUCCCAGGUUGAGAACCACUGACUUUGAUGAAGGGUUAGGAGGCAAGACCAUCAAGUUUGCAAACGGGACCAAAGUAGGAGGGAUAGCCAUUAGCCAAUACUCCAGACAGGCGCAGAAUUCAAAACGAUUUUAACAGAUUGGAGUUGACUAUGUUGGCUGUUAUAUUGGAUCACACGUUGGACCCAUCCCAAGUGUCUGGGACUCUGUGAUUUAUUGGUGAAUAAUGUGUGCAGAUCCAAGUAGGGUGGCCUUUUGCAGCUGACAGAUGGUAAUUUUGUCAGCACCAAUUGUUUUAAAGUGCUGGCCAAAGUAUUUAGGCAUUGCACCCAAUGUGCCGAUCACCACUGGAACCACAUUUACUGGCUUGUGCCAGAGUCUUUGCAGUUUGAUCUUUAAAUCCUUGUAUCACAUAAGCUUUUCCAGUUGCUUUCCGUCGAUUCUGCUAUCACCUAGGAUUGCAACAUUGAUAAUCCACACUUUGUUUUUUAACACAAUCGUGAGGUCGGGAGUAUUAUGCUCCAAAACUCUUGUCAGCCAGAAUUUGAAGUCGCAGAGUAGUUUGACGUGUUUAUUUUCUGUAAUCUUUUCAGGCUUGUGAUCCCACCAGUUCUUUGUCACAGGCAGAUGGUAUUUGUGGCACAAGUUCCAAUGGAUCAUCUGAGCAAUGGUAUUAUGCCUCUGCUUGUAGUCUGUCUGCGCAAUCUUCUUGCAGCAGCUGAGGAUGUGAUCCAUCAUUUUGCCUGCUUCUUUGCGGAUUCUACAUUUGGAAUUUGUAGUCGACUUUUCAAUUCUGGCUUUGAUGGCAUUUGUUCUAAUUGCUUGUUCUCAGGCUGCAAGAAUCAGGUUCUCAGUUUCCUUUUUCAAAGUUAUUAAAGUGGAUGCUGUUUGGUUGUAUCUUUGGUACCUGGCAUUUUUUAUUAGGGCUGAUGGGAACUGUAGUCCAACAUCUGGAGGGCCAAAAGUUUCACACUUCUGUUCUACUUAGAGUUGUCAAGAAUUGAACCUGGAAUCUUCUAUGGGCAAAGCAUGUACAGUACGAUACCCGAAUCUGCAGAAUCAAUAUAGGUGAUUUCACUUACACAGUUUGACUGAUUCACUUAGGGCUCCCUAUACAAACUACACUCUCUUGUCAUUUGUCCCAUUGAAAAGAAUAGAAUUAGCUCUUAUCCACAAUUUCACAUAUCCAUGUGAUGUUUCAGAUCAUAUGGCCCACGGAUAUGGGAUCGUACUACUGCAAAAAUAUGACCCAUUCCCAAAGGCAUACUACUGAUAGGAACAAUGUCUCAGGCAGAAGUCUUUUUUAAAACUACUAUGUGAUCCAUUUAACUGAAGAUGCCGAAAUUGAAUGCAAAAUGUGUGCUCUUAAAACUGAACUAUGUCUCAAUUUGAGGAUGAAUUAUCAUCUGUAUACAUAGAGAAGAGCACACUUAUUUAACUUGUCAUUUAUUUUUAGAGUUACAAGAAUAAAUGACAAGCUAAAUCUGCUUAAGUAAUACACCAUCUCUCAGGCUAACUUCAGAAGCUGGUAUGGUGAAGUAUGUGCCCAUAGCCUUAGAAAGCCCUCUAUGCUCGACAUUGGCACCAAUUACUAUUAUUAUUUUAUUAUCCACCCUGAGUCCCCCUGGGGAGAUAGGGGAGGAUACAAAUAAAGUCAUAUUAUUAUUAGAGGCUCCGGAUCCUAGCACUGAAUGGAGAGGUGCUUGGAUAGAAGUGUGGGUGUUAUCACUAGUAGGAGACAGAGGCAUUUGAGGGAUGUGGAGCUAUGGUCUUCUGGCACAGUUGUCCUCCUUUUCAGAGGUAGAGUGUGAGUGAGUGUUCUUCUGCCUCCUCAAAGCACCCCCUGACACCUUACUAAACAAACAUAUCAGACAUGGAGAUGCUGGGAAGACCCAGCACAAUUAUUUAUAGUCGCUGCCCCCCCCCCCCCAAUCCAGAGAUUCAAUCAUCCUCAGCUUGAAAAUAUUCCUAUUUCCCCCAAAAAGCAAAUUUUGCAUUUGCCAUUUUAUAUAAGGGAUACCAUUUUGCUGCACUGCUGUAUAUAAUGGGACAUGAGCAUCCAGGGAUUUUGGCAUCCACAGGGGUCCUGGACCAAACCCAUAGCAGGUUCUCAGGCUCAUUGUGUUCAUUUUAAAGGUUCCAUGUGUCCAUGGAGAGGGAGACAGAAAAUCAGGAAACAUGUAUGCAAAAGAGAUUGAAAAAAAGAGUGAAUUGUUUUUGUUUAGUCUGUACCCCCAAUGCAUACUUAUUGUCCUUCUCCUUUGUUUCAACAACCUCAAAUCUAUAUAAAUAUUUCCUGCCUGAAAUUUAUUAUGUAUUUAUUUCCAUCAUUUCUAUCCCUCCCUUCUCACCCGAAGGGACUCAGGGCGGCUUACAAAACUGGCAGAAUUCGAUGCCAAUAUACAACAAAACAAAAGAAUAAAACAUAUGCAAUUAAAAACAGAUUUAAAAUAAUGCAAAAUACUUGAGCCAUUCAUCCACAAAACCUUGCACAUUUAUUUAUUUAUUUAUUUACAGCAUUUAUAUUCCGCCCUUCUCACCCCGAAGGGGACUCAGGGCGGAUCACAUUACACAUAUAGGCAAACAUUCAAUGCCUUUUAACAUAGAACAAAGACAAACAAACAUAGGCUCCGAGGGGCCUCGAACUCAUGACCUCCUGGUCAGAGUGAUUCAUUGCAGUUAAUUGCAGCUAGCUUGCUCUCCCUCCUGCACCACAGCCCGGCCCUAAACCUUACUCCAGACCGAGUCGAAGCCAACGAAACUUAUUCUUUGAAUGCUUGCUCGCAUAGCCAGGUCUUCACUUUCUUUCUAAAACUCAAAAGGGAUGGAGCCUGCCGGAUGUCAUUAGGGAGGGAGUUCCAUAGCCGAGGAGCCACCACUGAGAAAGCCCUGCCUCUCAUCCCCGCCAGCCAAUGCAUUGGGUUACCUUAUAGAAUAAAACCAUAAAUAAGGACACCCCUAGUUUCAGUCUCUAUUUCACAUCAGCAUCAACUCCUUCCAUUGAGGAAGGCAGAUGCUUCAGCAAAAUGUUGGAAGAGAAAGCUAUGUCCCAUGUGGUAUGCUCUUCAGGUGCUGAAGAAAAUGUUAAUAACAAAGAAAAAUGUACUUCUCCCCCACUUGGCUGGGCUCUGCCAUCUUAUCCUUCAUUUUAAACAGUAAAAUGACUUGGUUCAGUCCUGGCUGAGAACAUUACAGGAGCAUGUCAUGACAGGUGGCUUUUGUGUCAGCAGACCCCCCUCUAGGUUUUGGUCUAAAUCACUAUCCAAGGUGCCAAACCUCUUUGGGAUCUGGAGUAAUAUUUGACCUAAAACUUGGAGCAUGACAGAUCAGACAGCCAUAAGUUGCCAUCCAAAUGUAAUGCAAACCCACGUUUUGGACUGAUAUUGCACUACAUCGAUGCCACCCCAGCCAAUUAAUGUAGUAGCAGUAGAAUAGACUCAGAAUAGACCCAAUUGUUUCGUUACUAUGACAAUGUCUUGCCAAGAAAAGCAUCAACACUAGUUUGGAUGAUUUGGCUAUUGCAUGUUGGGUAAAACUUAAAUAAAACCACACUAGAAGCAUUGUCAUUAGAAGGAGAGCUGAGCUUAGCUGUCAUUUCCCAUGAUGGUGGACAUGUCAGAUGGUGUUUGCAACGCUGCUGCAACAAGUUUAAGCAGCAGUUGUUCGUCUGAUGUAUUUAAUCUUACAUUAAUGCAACAUUGCAAGGAAACUAUGUAGAUAAUGUAAAUUGGAGCCCAGAGCGGAGUAUGUAUUCUGAGAAAUUUCUGUAUGUAUCUGUACAUGCUCACUAGAGGGAAGGAUAUCAGUGGCAAAGAGGAAGUACUCUGGACACAUAAUGAGAAGACAGGAAAGCUUUGAGAAGAUAAUGAUGCUGGGGAAAAUGGAAGGAAAAAAGAAGAGGGACCAACCAAGGGCAAGGUGGAGGGAUGGUAUCCUUGAAGUGACUGGCUUGACCUUGAAGAAGCUGGGGGUGGUGAUGACCGACAGGGAGCUCUGGGGCAGGCUGGUUCAUGGGGUCACAAAGAGUCAGAAGCAAAUGAACGAAUAAACAACCACACUUUUGCACAUGUUAUCAUGUAGGCAUAUAUUUAUGUGUUUUUGUGUGUGUUAUGCAACAACACAUUGGGGGGAUGGAUGUAAAGUGUUGUUGUGUGCCCUCAAGUCAUUUCCAACUUCUGGUGAUCCUAAAGUGACCCGAUGACAGGGUUUUCUUGGCAAAAUUUCUUUGCCAUUGACUUCACCAUACUGGCUCACAAAGCACACACCAUCUGCUAUACUGAAAUGUAAGACACACCUGUUUCGGCAGGCUUUUGAUUUCUGUUAAUGAUGUUUUUAAAAUAUGUUUUUAAGAUGUUUUAAAGAUGUUUUUAAAUUGUUAGAUUUUAGCCUGUUCUUGUAAGCUGCCCCAAGCCCUAGGGGAGUGGCGGCAUAUAAGUUUGAAUAAUAAAUAUAAAUAAAUAUAAGGUAAAGGUAAAGGUUUCCCCUGACGUUAAAUCCAGUCAUGUCUGACUCUGGGGGUUGGUGCUCAUCUCCAUUUCUAAGCCGAAGAGCUGGCGUUGUCCGUAGACACCUCCAAGGUCAUGUGGCCGGCAUGACUGCAUGGAGCACCGUUACCUUCCCGCCAGAGUGGUACCUGUUGAUCUAUUCACAUUGGCAUGUUUUCAAACUGCUAGGUUGGCAGAAGCUGGAGCUAACAGCGGCCAUUCCUGCCACUCCCGGGGUUUGAACCUGUGACCUUUCGGUCUGCAAGUUCAGCAGCUCAGCGCUUUAACACACUGAGCCACUGGGGCUCCGUAAAUAAAUAUAUGGCAUUGAAUAAUUAUUGAAAGUUGUAUUGGGUUUCUUUUGAACAGACCUAGAGAUGCAUUGCAGGCGACACCAGAUGUGACAUUAAUUUCAUGACUGCUCCUUUAUUCCCACCACAUCCUCUAGUAUAGAAGGAAAAGUGUGGUAAUGACUUCAACAAAGCCUUAUGGGGCUACC